This 499-nucleotide ribosomal RNA is filed under the name uncultured bacterium. RNAcentral's name for it is "partial 16S ribosomal RNA". It matches the Rfam family "Bacterial small subunit ribosomal RNA", at positions 28 to 507 of the family's 1533-position model. The record is from RNAcentral.
GACGAACGCUGGCGGCGUGCCUAAUACAUGCAAGUCGAGCGAAGAGUUUAUGGUGUUUGUUCUUGAAAAAUUUAGCGGCGGUCGGGAGAGUAACACGUAAAGAAACUGCCUCAUCGUCUGGGACAACUAUUGGAAACGAUAGCUAAUACUGGAUAACAGCAUUAUUUACUUUGUUGAUGUUUAAAAGUUGGUUUUGCUAACACAUUGAUAUGGCUUUGCGGUGCAUUAGCUAGUUGGUGGGGUAAAGGCCUACCAAGGCAACGCUGCAUUGCAGACCUGAGAGGGUGAUCGGCCACACUGGAACUGGGACACGGCCCAGACUCCUACGGGAGGCAGCAGUAGGGAAUCUUCCGCAAUGGGCGAAAGCCUGACGGAGCAACGCCGCGUGGGUGAAGAAGGAUUUCGGUUCGUAAAGCUCUGUUGUUAGGGAAGAAGGAUGGGGUAGUAACAAGACACAGUAGAGACGGUACCUAACCAGAAAGCCACGGCUAACUACGUG